RNAcentral lists this ribosomal RNA (508 nucleotides) under uncultured microorganism. RNAcentral's name for it is "bacterial SSU rRNA". It matches the Rfam family "Bacterial small subunit ribosomal RNA", at positions 9 to 519 of the family's 1533-position model. The record is from RNAcentral.
GAGUUUGAUCAUGGCUCAGGAUGAACGCUAGCGGGAGGCCUAACACAUGCAAGCCGAGCGGUAUUGUUUCUUCGGAAAUGAGAGAGCGGCGUACGGGUGCGGAACACGUGUGCAACCUGCCUUUAUCUGGGGGGAUAGCCUUUCGAAAGGAAGAUUAAUACUCCAUAACAUAUUUAACGGCAUCGUUUGAUAUUGAAAGCUCCGGCGGAUAGAGAUGGGCACGCGCAAGAUUAGCUAGUUGGUGAGGUAACGGCUCACCAAGGCGAUGAUCUUUAGGGGGCCUGAGAGGGUGAUCCCCCACACUGGUACUGAGACACGGACCAGACUCCUACGGGAGGCAGCAGUGAGGAAUAUUGGUCAAUGGGUGCAAGCCUGAACCAGCCAUCCCGCGUGAAGGACGACUGCCCUAUGGGUUGUAAACUUCUUUGUAUAGGGAUAAACCUACCUCGUGAGGUAGCUGAGGGUACUAUACGAAUAAGCACCGGCUAACUCCGUGCCAGCCGCCGCA